This 494-nucleotide ribosomal RNA is filed under the name uncultured bacterium. RNAcentral describes it as "partial 16S ribosomal RNA". It matches the Rfam family "Bacterial small subunit ribosomal RNA", at positions 28 to 507 of the family's 1533-position model. The record is from RNAcentral.
GACGAACGCUGGCGGCGUGCUUAACACAUGCAAGUCGAACGGUGAAGCGCCUUCCUUUUUGGUGGGUGUGGAUGAGUGGCGAACGGGUGAGUAACACGUGAGUAACCUGCCCCCUUCUUCUGGAUAACCGCAUGAAAGUGUGGCUAAUACGGGAUAUUCUGGGUCUGUCGCAUGAUGGGUCUGGGAAAGAUAUUGUUUCGGUGGGGGAUGGGCUCGCGGCCUAUCAGCUUGUUGGUGGGGUGAUGGCCUACCAAGGCGGUGACGGGUAGCCGGCCUGAGAGGGUGGACGGUCACACUGGGGCGGAGACACGGCCCAGACUCCUACGGGAGGCAGCAGGGGGGAAUAUUGCACAAUGGGCGCAAGGCUGAUGCAGCGACGCCGCGUGAGGGAUGGAGGCCUGCGGGUUGUGAACCUCUUUCGCCAGUGAAGCAGGGCUGCCUCGUGUGUGGGUGGGUUGACGGUAGCUGGAUAAGAAGCGCCGGCUAACUACGUG